GCCCAGCCGUAAACAAUUAACUUACACCACCAACGCCAGGGAAUUACGAGCUAUGCUUAAAACCCAAAGGACUUGACGGUGUCCCAUCCCCCUAGAGGAGCCUGUUCUAUAAUCGAUGAUCCCCGCUAUACCCAACCAUUCCUUGCUCCCAGUCUGUAUACCUCCGUCGAAAGCCUACCCUGUGAACGCAAAGUAAGCCUAAUGACCCUCCCCAAUACGUCAGGUCAAGGUGCAGCUCACGGAGUGGAAAGUAAUGGGCUACAAUUUCUAACAUAGAACAAACGAAAGACCAUGUGAAACCGUGGUCACUAAGGUGGAUUUAGUAGUAAAAAGAAAAUAGAGUGUUCUUUUUUAACCCGGCUCUGGGACGCGUACACACCGCCCGUCACCCUCUUCAACAGCUUUACUUCACGUUCAUAACUCCCUACCCGCACCUUAGAAGAGGCAAGUCGUAACAUGGUAAGUGUACUGGAAAGUGCACUUGGACUACAACAAAAUAUAGCUUUAA
RNAcentral lists this ribosomal RNA (508 nucleotides) under Amolops bellulus. Its description in RNAcentral is "partial 12S ribosomal RNA". It matches the Rfam family "Bacterial small subunit ribosomal RNA", at positions 794 to 1533 of the family's 1533-position model. The record is from RNAcentral. Lineage: Eukaryota; Metazoa; Chordata; Amphibia; Anura; Ranidae.